AGAGUUUGAUCAUGGCUCAGAUUGAACGCUGGCGGCAGGCUUAACACAUGCAAGUCGAGCGGGGGAGGUUGCUUCGGUAACUGACCUAGCGGCGGACGGGUGAGUAAUACUUAGGAAUCUGCCUAUUAAUGGGGGACAACAUCUCGAAAGGGAUGCUAAUACCGCAUACGCCCUACGGGGGAAAGCAGGGGAUCACUUGUGACCUUGCGUUAAUAGAUGAGCCUAAGUCGGAUUAGCUAGUUGGUGGGGUAAAGGCCUACCAAGGCGACGAUCUGUAGCGGGUCUGAGAGGAUGAUCCGCCACACUGGGACUGAGACACGGCCCAGACUCCUACGGGAGGCAGCAGUGGGGAAUAUUGGACAAUGGGGGGAACCCUGAUCCAGCCAUGCCGCGUGUGUGAAGAAGGCCUUAUGGUUGUAAAGCACUUUAAGCGAGGAGGAGGCUCUUUUGGUUAAUACCCAAGAUGAGUGGACGUUACUCGCAGAAUAAGCACCGGCUAACUCUGUGCCAGCCGCCGCGGUAAUAC
Molecule: ribosomal RNA, 526 nt
Filed under: uncultured bacterium
Lineage: Bacteria
Description: bacterial SSU rRNA
Rfam family: Bacterial small subunit ribosomal RNA
Source: RNAcentral